GUUUUCAGAAAACCCAACCCCGUCCUCAAGCCAGCGACCGCCGAUUUGUCUGUUUCGGCUACCGUUGAGGUGUUUCGACAUCAGCAAAUGAACUGUCAGCCUUCCGCAACCUAACCCCAUUCGUUUGCUCAUCAAAAUCAGCCACCGUUUGGCCUGUUUCAAGAUUAGUAGUCAUUCAAAACCCCUCACCGCUCCUUUGUCUCCGCUCGUCUGUGAACGACACCGACCACCCCCGACGAAGCACCAUCGAAGCUCGAUCAAAACACACCCACCAGAUCAUCGGAAGCGGUCAUCGUUCUCCGUAGGGAGCCCCCGAUAGCUUCAAUGGAAAAAUGAUAUAACCCCAACGUUUUUCAUGAUUCUGGCCACCACGAUCGUCGAUUCAUCAAACCGCCUCCCUCAUUGAGUUCCCGGUGUUCUUCCGACCAAAACCUGGUCAGGCUCGUCGCUCACCGUCGUGGCAAUAUCCGUUUGCCAUUAAGGGGAGUAAUCGGCCAAUCGAAACAGCCCUCGCAAUCACCGCAUGCGCCACCACGCGCCGGCAGUUCGUGUGGGGCUCUUCAACGGUCCAGGAAACUUCUGGAACCGGUCCAAUUAGCUUGAAUAGGCCCGAACUGGGUCUGUUUAACCCAACCGAAUCAACUUGGUCCGAGUUAACCCGUUUAAGUUAACUCGUCUGAGUCAACCAGUCUGAGUCAACCCGUUUACUUUGACCAAAAAGU
Hibiscus syriacus is the source of this 722-nucleotide long non-coding RNA. RefSeq lists it as uncharacterized. The transcript is spliced from 2 exons. NCBI's taxonomy places the organism in Eukaryota, Viridiplantae, Streptophyta, Magnoliopsida, Malvales, Malvaceae. The record is from RefSeq and is a predicted model, not a curated record.